AUGAAAUUACGAAAAGAUAAAUUAAAAUAAAAAAUACAAUUAUCGGGAGCCAGCGCCAAUAUAAAUAAAUAAAUAAAUCAGAGCUACGAAAUUUUUGGUACAAGAUAUAUUGCAUAUUUUUUUUUUUCGAGUGCAAAAGAACUCAUUCUUCCCUGCAUGUAAGUUUGCUCUCUUGGGUCUUAUCUUACAAUAGGUUUCUACAUGACAUCAUAUUUACAUAUACCGAAAAGGCAAUAAUACUUGCGAUUCCGUCUUAUUGGACAAUCUUUAACAGUUUUACAUUUAACUUGUGCUGUAACAAAAAAGAAAAAAUAAAGCAAUGUUACUAAAUACAAACAAAAGAUAGAAAUUUGAAAAGGAUGGAAAAAUAGUUUACCGUCAACGUUCUUUACAAUAAAAAAUAGGGUAAGAAAUAAAAUCGUAGCAAUCACAAACUUAAAUGUUUUAGUCAUAUUUU
RNAcentral lists this long non-coding RNA (457 nucleotides) under Medicago truncatula (barrel medic). RNAcentral describes it as "lncRNA gene46105". Lineage: Eukaryota; Viridiplantae; Streptophyta; Magnoliopsida; Fabales; Fabaceae. The record is from RNAcentral.